RNAcentral lists this ribosomal RNA (863 nucleotides) under Pseudocyphellaria coriifolia. Its description in RNAcentral is "LSU rRNA". It matches the Rfam family "Eukaryotic large subunit ribosomal RNA", at positions 69 to 947 of the family's 3401-position model. The record is from RNAcentral. Lineage: Eukaryota; Fungi; Ascomycota; Lecanoromycetes; Peltigerales; Lobariaceae.
CAGGGAUUGCCUCAGUAACGGCGAGUGAAGCGGCAACAGCUCAAAUUUGAAAUCUGACCCCCUCGGGGCCCGAGUUGUAAUUUGUAGAGGGUGUUUCGGGCGCGGCGCCGGUCUAAGUUCCUUGGAACAGGACGUCACAGAGGGUGAGAAUCCCGUAUGUGACCGGCGAUCAAGCCCAUGUGAAGCCCCUUCGACGAGUCGAGUUGUUUGGGAAUGCAGCUCAAAAUGGGUGGUAAAUUUCAUCUAAAGCUAAAUACUGGCCAGAGACCGAUAGCGGACAAGUAGAGUGAUCGAAAGAUGAAAAGCACUUUGGAAAGAGAGUCAAACAGUACGUGAAAUUGUUGAAAGGGAAGCGCUUGCAAUCAGACCGGUCCGGGGGUGAUCAGCCGCUGCUCGUCAGCGGUGCACUCGCCCUCGAUCCGGCCAGCAUCGGUUUGGGCGGCGGGAAAAAAGUCCCGGGAAUGUAGCUUCUCUCGGGGAGUCUUAUAGCCCGGGUCGGCAUGCCGCCCGCCUGGACCGAGGACCGCGCUUCGGCUAGGAUGCUGGCGUAAUGGUUGCAAGCGACCCGUCUUGAAACACGGACCAAGGAGUCUAACAUCUAUGCGAGUGUUUGGGUGUCAAACCCGGGCGCGGAAUGAAAGUGAACGGAGGUGGGAACCCGUCAGACGGCGCACCAUCGACCGAUCCAGAUGUCUUCGGAUGGAUUUGAGUACGAGCAUAGCUGUUGGGACCCGAAAGAUGGUGAACUAUGCCCGGAUAGGGUGAAGCCAGAGGAAACUCUGGUGGAGGCUCGCAGCGGUUCUGACGUGCAAAUCGAUCGUCAAAUCUAGGCAUAGGGGCGAAAGACCAAUCGAACCAUCUAG